This 253-nucleotide ribosomal RNA is filed under the name uncultured bacterium. Its description in RNAcentral is "partial 16S ribosomal RNA". It matches the Rfam family "Bacterial small subunit ribosomal RNA", at positions 524 to 776 of the family's 1533-position model. The record is from RNAcentral.
UACGUAGGGUGCAAGCGUUGUCCGGAAUUAUUGGGCGUAAAGAGCUCGUAGGCGGCUCGUCACGUCGGCUGUGAAAACCCGGGGCUCAACCCCGGGCCUGCAGUCGAUACGGGCGAGCUAGAGUUCGGCAGGGGAGACUGGAAUUCCUGGUGUAGCGGUGAAAUGCGCAGAUAUCAGGAGGAACACCGGUGGCGAAGGCGGGUCUCUGGGCCGAUACUGACGCUGAGGCACGAAAGCUAGGGGAGCAAACAGG